CAGCAGGACGGUGGUCAUGGAAGUC
RNAcentral lists this non-coding RNA (25 nucleotides) under Arabidopsis thaliana (thale cress). Lineage: Eukaryota; Viridiplantae; Streptophyta; Magnoliopsida; Brassicales; Brassicaceae. RNAcentral also lists the same sequence under 1 other name. The record is from RNAcentral.